AGAGUUUGAUCCUGGCUCAGGAUGAACGCUGGCGGCGUGCCUAAUACAUGCAAGUCGAACGGAGUGGAGCAAUCCACUGAGUGGCGAACGGGUGAGUAACGCGUUGGUGACCUGCCCCGGAGUGUGGGGUACCAGGCCGAAAGGCUUGCUAAUACCGCAUACCCAAAGAGACGGCUAGAGAGCUUUUUGGAAAGGAGUAAUCCGCUCUGGGAGGGGCCUGCGACCCAUCAGCUAGUUGGUAAGGUAACGGCCUACCAAGGCGAUGACGGGUAGGGGACCUGAGAGGGUGGCCCCCCACAAUGGAACUGAAACACGGUCCAUACACCUACGGGUGGCAGCAGUAGGGAAUAUUGCUUAAUGGGCGAAAGCCUGAAGCGGCAACGCCGCGUGUGCGAUGGAGGCCUUCGGGUUGUAAAGCACUUUUGACCGGGAAGAGGAAGGACGGUACCGGUCGAAUAAGCCUCGGCUAACUACAUGCCAGCAGCCGCGGUAAAACGUAGGAGGCGAGCGUUAUCCGGAUUUACUGGGUGUAAAGCGCGUGCAGGCGGUUGGCUAAGUUGGGUGUGAAAGCUCCUGGCUCAACUGGGAGAGGUCGCUCAAGACUGGCCGACUGGAGAGCAGUAAGGGAAGGUGGAAUUCCGGGUGUAGUGGUGAAAUGCGUAGAUAUCCGGAGGAACACCAGUGGCGAAGGCGGCCUUCUGGACUGCUUCUGACGCUCAGACGCGAAAGCUAGGGGAGCAAACGGGAUUAGAGACCCCGGUAGUCCUAGCCGUAAACGAUGUGAACUUGGCGCUGGGUGG
This 800-nucleotide ribosomal RNA is filed under the name uncultured bacterium. RNAcentral's name for it is "bacterial SSU rRNA". It matches the Rfam family "Bacterial small subunit ribosomal RNA", at positions 8 to 830 of the family's 1533-position model. The record is from RNAcentral.